UGUGUAGGGGAACCAGGAUUUUUACUUUGAAAAAAUUAGAGUGUUCAAAGCAGGCCUAUGCCCGAAUACAUUAGCAUGGAAUAAUAGAAUAGGACGUGCGGUUCUAUUUUGUUGGUUUCUAGGAUCGCCGUAAUGAUUAAUAGGGAUAGUUGGGGGCA
RNAcentral lists this ribosomal RNA (158 nucleotides) under uncultured eukaryote. RNAcentral describes it as "partial Eukaryotic small subunit ribosomal RNA". It matches the Rfam family "Eukaryotic small subunit ribosomal RNA", at positions 735 to 890 of the family's 1831-position model. The record is from RNAcentral.